Long non-coding RNA from Nerophis ophidion (straightnose pipefish), 997 nucleotides. RefSeq lists it as uncharacterized. The transcript has 3 exons. Lineage: Eukaryota; Metazoa; Chordata; Actinopteri; Syngnathiformes; Syngnathidae. The record is from RefSeq and is a predicted model, not a curated record.
AGAGGUGGUCUGUCCCGAGUCCUCGGCGUCCAUUGGCGCCGCCCCUAACAAUCUCGGCACGGACACUUUCCGUGCCCUCAGGCGGGCGUCGUGUGGAUGCUACCCACCGAACACGCUCCCUACCACGGACACAACUAAGGCCUCGGGCCGCCCCCUGCUCGGCCGGGUUGGGGGUCGCAACUCACCUGAAGGCCGACGUACGCGCCGCGGAGUCCCGCUCGGUUCUUGGCGGCCGGAGAGUGAAAACAAUGCAGCGUCCUCUUCCUCCUCCUCUUCGUCCUCCUCUUCCUCGCCCCGCCCCCGCAGCUUCCACACACGGGACUGCGGAGCCACGGCGGGGUGUGCUGCUUUCACAGCACUGCGCGGCGCCGGCGGGGCGGCAACCGAGUUGAAAACGACCAAUUAUCCCUCGACGGUCGAAUGAAAUGUGUUCAACGCUCGAACCAGAAUGUUGAUGGCGAGUGUUUGAUUUAAUCACCAGCUGUCCGGCAGGGGCGGUGUCUCCAAGACCGCUAUGGAGUCACGUGAUCAGGGUGAGGCGGCAACGCGAGCACACGUUCACAGGGGCAGACAGUGUGCUGUCAUGAAGCGCCUCCACGCCCCAAAUCAGUGAGAGGCAGUGAAGCAGCCUUGACAAGGAGGAAAGUCUGCAGACAUCGGAUAGUGAAAAGUUGAAAAAAAAGUAAAAAGCCUAUCCCGGCUGCACUGGAGCGGAAGGCGGCGUACACCCUGGACAAGUCACCAUCUCAUCAUAGGGCCAACACAGAUAGACAAAAUUAAAUUUCUUAAACUAAUCAUACUCAAAAAUAUAUAAGUAAUCAUUUUUGAAGAUAUAAUUGUAUAUUAACAUACAAUCAUAUAGGAAGAUUUUUUUUUUACUAUUAAAUAUCAAUUGUUUUUAUACUUGCAAAUUUUUUUAUUUGUUGAAUUGAAAUUUGUUUUUAUACUUUAAAUCAUUUGUUUUAUUAAUUAGAAAAUAGUUUCCAUACUUUCAAUU